RNAcentral lists this ribosomal RNA (254 nucleotides) under uncultured bacterium. Its description in RNAcentral is "partial 16S ribosomal RNA". It matches the Rfam family "Bacterial small subunit ribosomal RNA", at positions 524 to 776 of the family's 1533-position model. The record is from RNAcentral.
CACGUAGGGUGCGAGCGUUGUCCGGAAUUAUUGGGCGUAAAGAGCUCGUAGGCGGUGUGUCGCGUCGGCCGUGAAAACCUGCAGCUUAACUGUGGGCGUGCGGUCGAUACGGGCAUCACUGGAGUUCGGCAGGGGAGACUGGAAUUCCUGGUGUAGCGGUGAAAUGCGCAGAUAUCAGGAGGAACACCGGUGGCGAAGGCGGGUCUCUGGACGGUCACUGACGCUGAGACGCGAAAGCGUGGGGAGCAAACAGG